GUUGUUGUGGGUGCUGAUGGUUCCCCUAUCUUGGUUUCUUGGAAUGGUGAUUCAAGAAGGGACACCAUCGUGUGGAUGGACCAUAGGGCUCUUGACCAAGUCGAGUGAAUUAAUUCUCACAGUUCACCGGUAUUGCAAUUUUAUGGUGGGAGUGUCUCCCCAGAAUACAGAUAAAUAGUUUUGAAUUAUUUCGUAAGAUCGGUAGACAACAUUUGCUGUGUAUUUUACAGUUACCGGCGUUGAUUGUAUCGUAUUGAUUUACCUUCUAAAACAUUUAUGGGUAAAUGAAAAUCUACAAAAAUCUUGGUUUAUGUUAUAUAGGUGAGUUUCAACUCACAACCUCUCUAAGCCUGUAAUAAGCUAUGAGCUGAAUUUCUAACAAGUUUACUUUCUAACAGCUAAAUUAACUACAGCCCAAAGGCAGCAGCCUGUUACUAUUUUAUAUCAUUUGUUGUUGAUUUGUUUUUUUCAGAAUUGCAUUGGCAAAUCAUGAAAGGUGUAAUGUUCACGGAUUUUUGUUAGAUGGUCUGUUGGUCCGGUUUAAUUUUAGCGAGCAUGAGGCAUCUGGGUACUGUUUAUGAAUUGAUAGCGCACCUUGCUUAAAUCCUACUAACAAUUUUCUCAAGAAUUCAUACUAACAAGUGUCUUUGCUUUUUGUUUGAUGCAUUUAACAUGUUCAGGAAACAUGUUUCAAGGGCCUUGUUUGUGAUCUGGAGCCCACUGUUAGUAGAUUAUGGCAGUAAAUCAUAGUCAGUUUCCUUGUCUACACUUCAUCAUAGCCUCAUAUGUACUAUUAUAUGAUUGUUGCAUUUCAAUUUUUUUUGCAGAUAGGUCAUGUUGUUGGACGAGGGCGGGCUAGCGGAGGGCAUGUCGGCGGACGACGUGGAGGUCGUGUUCGGCUCCAUCGGCCGCAUUGCCGGCAUCGAGUUCGUGCGCACCAGCGGCCCUAGCUUCGCCUACGUCGGCUUCCACUGCCCCUCCCACAAGGUCAUGACGAAGCUCUCCACCGUAAGCAUCCACCGCCCAUCAACAAUCUCAUUGUAACUAUGUUUCUACACUUCGGCAGCACUUGAUAGUAGUAAAUUAGGGUUUUGUUGAUUCUCCACAUUAGCCGUGUGUAUUCAGUAAUUUGAAUGUAGAAUUUUGUGUUAGGUGAGUAGAGCUUUACCAACUUAAUAACAGAGGAUGGUGCUUGCAGUUGUUGUGGGUGCUGAUGGUUCCCCUGUCUUGGUUUCUUGGAAUGGCGAUUCAAGAAGGGGCAUCAUCGUGUGGAUGGACCAUAGGGCUCUUGACCAAGUCGAGUGAAUUAAUUCUCACAGUUCACCGGUAUUGCAAUUUUAUGGUGGGAGUGUCUCCCCAGAAUACAGAUAAAUAGUUUUGAAUUAUUUUGUAAGAUCGGUAGACAACAUUUGCUGUGUAUUUUACAGUUACCGGCGUUGAUUGUAUCGUAUUGAUUUACCUUUUAAAACAUUUAUGGGUAAAGGAAAAUCUACAAAAAUCUUGGUUUAUGUUAUAUAGGUGAGUUUCAACUCACAACCUCUCUAAGCUUGUAAUAAGCUAUGAGCU
Molecule: long non-coding RNA, 1566 nt
Filed under: Triticum aestivum (bread wheat)
Lineage: Eukaryota; Viridiplantae; Streptophyta; Magnoliopsida; Poales; Poaceae
Description: long non-coding RNA (TAES_LNC005507)
Source: RNAcentral